AUAAUCUUUUCUUCCUUUUGUUUGCUUAGAUUCUUAUUCUUCUUUCUUUGUGUACCUCUCCGGUGUUUUACUUCUUUUUCUUCUUUCCUUUUUGCUAUGUUUUUGGUGGUUUUCACAGGUGAUUUUUGGUUUCCUAGCUGCAAAAAGGCGGGGAAAUGGAUAUUUCUUUGCGUCUUUUCGAUUUUUUUUAAUCAUAUAUGUGUUUCAGGGCAAAAUUUUCGGGUUUGGUCUACUUUGAUUUUCAUUAAGUUGCUCUUUGUGCUGCAUGUGUUCGCUAUGGCUUGAGAUAAACAGUGGGACUUAAUUUGCAGCAUUUGGAACUUGCUAAUUUAGUUUUUAUUCUCCUGUUUCAAAAUUAAUUUUUGGCGUUCUUCUAAGGUUUUCUAAGUAGUGGUUUAUCCUAAUGUAUUUCCGUUUUCAAUUCACUGUUAUUUAGUUGUUCUGUUUUGUAAAUUGUUAUUUCUAAACAAUGCUUCUUUAUUUUGUAGCUUGGUUGAGGGAAAAAUUGAUGAUGUCUGGAUGUUUCAGAUAAUGUAAGCGCUUUUAUUUUAUUCUGCUGAGAAUUAAAAAUGAAGUGAUACUAAUGGUUUCAGGGGUAUCUUAUAAUCUUCCUCCUUCUCAAAGAACAUUUUCCACAAGAAUGCAUGGAAUGGAGCAAUUCCAGUUCCAGUGGCAAGCUGCAAGAUGACAAGAUCCAAGUCUGCUUAGUCAUAUUGAAGGGAAGUGUGCAGAAGUGCCUGAUGGUAACAAUUAAAGGAGCUAGCACUGGCAACAGUUACCGUUAUUACUGUAGCAUUGGGAUCCUUUGGCAGUGAAUAUUUCUUUUCCGGCAGGUCCAAUAAUCUUAACUUCAACUUCAGGCUUCAAGUUGCCUGAAAUAUUAACGUUUGAAUGCAGGUACGUGGCUGUAAGCCUAUAUAUCACAUGUUUAUUAAUAAAUGCGCAGUUAAACUCGAUCUAUAUAUGCUUGAAAUUCAAGCCAAGAAUGUUUUACUGUUUCGAGAGAAGAUCAAACAAAAUAUACUAAUGUUGCUAACAUUGUUUAAGGUUUAGGGAGUCCUUGAUUCUUACAUGAAAAGUUUGGGCGGGCUCCUUUAACUAUUUCCCCUUUGUCAUUGGUGUAGACAAGCCUUUUGGCAGAUUGUGAACUACCUGUCUCACCGCGAAUCACUUGUUCCACAAGGUGACUUAUUUUGGUGUACAUUUUGUUUGCUCUUUCCAUCAUUGCAUGUUAAGAAAAUUUACUUGCUGAUUAGGUUUGGAGAAACAAGUACCUGAAAGCACUCUUUGUAGCAUAGUUAAUAAACAAAAUGCAACAAAUUAAGCUGAGUUGAGUUCACUUUUAUUUCUAAGUUAUGUUAUGAAAAGAAAAAAAAACUUUUGCUGCUGGACUAUCACUGUCUAGAUGAACAUCAAAUCACUAUUUUAGGGAGGUCUAAGACAAAAAUCUUCUUCUUAGUAUAGGUUAUGGUUUAGUUAGUAUCUGAUGGCUUGAUUGUGGCACUGCUAUGUUGAUGUUGACUAAGUUAAAAGGUCUUUUGUCCUUAUGCAUGUUGAAAGCCCGAAAUGCCUUCUUUUCUCCUCAGGGCGUGAGUAUAAUGAAGGACGACAUUGAAUUAGAGAUGUAAAAUGGUAGCACGUACUUAAGAGAAGUGCAAAAAGGUUCCUUGAAUGAGAGUUACUGACUAUAUUUUUUUGGCCAAUUAUAAUAAAUCAAAAUAUUUUGUCCUUUGAUUAUUUACAUUUUUGGCGUGUAGAAACUAGAAACCAUACUAAUAAAAAGGAGAACUCUUUUCUUACAUAAUUAAUGCAUAAAUUUAUGGCUCUCUGGAUGUCUCUUUAACUAAAAUGACCUGGUUAGGCCAAUGUUCAUCUGCAGUACUUGUUUCUAUUGACUGACACUGCUGAAGUUCUACUGUUUUGUUUUGAGAGCAAGUCGACUCAUCCUCCAGAGGCUGCUCUGGAAACUCAGGUGUGAGGCUUUCAAUGACUCUAUUUAGUGAUUUUUACAGAAUUGUCAUGAUAAAUUUAUUGUACAUUUCCUUAGAAUGCAUACCAUUUAUGUUGAUGGGAGCAAAGUGACUAGAACAUCUUCAGAUGAGGCAGCCCACGGGUUUGAAUAUUAUUAUUAUUAUUAUCAUUAUUUUAUUUUUUUAAAGCCAAGCAUUCACUUAGUUAGUCAUAGGUAAGCUUUGCUGGGAAUAAAUAAAAAAAGCUGGACUUACCGCUGGCAAUAUGGUUCCCUUGUUUUUAUAAUUUAACAUGAGUAUAUACAAUUUCUCACUAUUUGCAGUUUGUUGGUUCGUUUAUCUGCUUUAUGCUAUCCAGACCUUCUGGUGUAUCUCUGGUUAUGUCAAAUUCUGAUCAGGCAACACCAAGUCCCAUUGAAUCACAUGACAACCAUCCGAAUGGCACUUCUUGAGCAUCGAAAUAUGAAAUACGGGAUGAACACCCAAAGCUGGUCAUGAUGAGAAUAGUCUUAGCUUGUAAUUGCUAUGUUGGAUAGGAUAAAGGACGAGAGUGAAAGAAAGUCGGGAUCUGGAGCUAAUGUGAUGAUGAUGACUGAGACAUAGAUGAGCUUUCUCAUGAAGAUAUUGUUUACGCGAAGUAAUUCUAUGGAGUAUCUAACCAACAGGGACUUGGAUUACAAUAAAAUGCAUUUUACUAAUGGUUUUGAAGACAAAGUAGUCUGAUAUUGGGGAAAUCGAAACACGUUGUAGGUAUGUGAAUCAUCAGAGGUGAAAAUAUGGUGUUCACGCGAUUAUUUAGGCUGGAAAUGGGAAAACACACACCAUGAUUGGAAAAUAUUGAAAGAGGCACGCGAAGACAUGGUGCGAAUUGUGGGAUUCCAUCUAUGGUAUUUGAGUACUUGUUUUCAAGAAUUCAAAAGGUACGGAUAUUGCAUCUGGUUUACUAUGUCAAUAUAUACCAAAUGUCUCCUAUGCUUAAUGAUCACUCCUUUUUUUCCCAUCAUAUAUCUCUAUAUUUAAUGAAAAAAACAAUGAGUGAGCCAAGGCCCGCGACUCCAUCAGAGGUUCGUAGCUUUCUGGGCUUUGGCAGGUUAUUACAAGCGGUUUGUAGAAGGGUUUGCUACUAUAUCAGCACUAUUGACAAAAUUAACUCUGAAAGGGGCCAAGUUCCAGUGGUCAGACGCUUGUGAACGUAGUUUCCAAGAAUUGAAGAAUCGAUUGACAACCGCACCUGUUCUUGCUCUUGCAGAAGGUAUAGAGGGUUAUGUGUUUUAUUGUGAUGUUUCAGGCACAGGUUUGAGAUGUGUAUUAAUGCAGCAUCAUCCCAGUGGAGCGACACUCAUUUGAGCCUGCAACAGUUUUUCAGCUUCAAAGGCUUAUCAUCAAGUCUCCGUUGAUGUCAAAGUGGCCCUGAUAUAGAUAUACACCGUUAGUAUAAAGAAUUUUUUUGCAUCGUCAAGUCGGCCAAAGGAUAUACUACAGGUGAGCCUCAAAUUGUGGAUGUAAUCUUGAAGAUAAGAAAGAUUACUUCUAUAACAGGAAUCUGCAUCGAAAGGAAUCGGAAAAUAAAGAAAUAUUUUAAGUAGAAAUCAGGUAAAGAGUGAACUCAAUUUGUUGAAUUUUGCUCUUUUUAUAUUGUUGGUUAUGAACGCUGAGGAAUUUAUUAAUUCUUUUACAGCUCCAUCUAUUAAUGUCAAAGGUCUCUAAAUUUCUGGUUU
RNA transcript from Lycium ferocissimum, 3688 nucleotides. RefSeq lists it as uncharacterized. The transcript is spliced from 7 exons. NCBI's taxonomy places the organism in Eukaryota, Viridiplantae, Streptophyta, Magnoliopsida, Solanales, Solanaceae. The record is from RefSeq and is a predicted model, not a curated record.